CAAUAGCGUAUAUUUAAGUUGUUGCAGUUAAAAAGCUCGUAGUUGGAUUUCGGUUAAGAGCGACCGGUCCGCCGUUUGGUGUGCACUGGUUGGUUUUAACUUCCUGUAGAGGACGUGCUCUGGGUUUAACGACCUGGACUCGGAGUCUACGUGGUUACUUUGAAAAAAUGAGAGUGUUCAAAGCGGGCUUACGCUUGAAUAUUUCAGCAUGGAAUAACACUAUAGGACUCCUGUCCUAUUUCGUUGGUCUCGGGACGGGAGUAAUGAUUAAGAGGAACAGUUGGGGGCAUUCGUAUUUCAUUGUCAGAGGUGAAAUUCUUGGAUUUAUGAAAGACGAACUUCUGCGAAAGCAUUUGCCAAGGAUGUUUUCAUUAA
Molecule: ribosomal RNA, 375 nt
Filed under: uncultured eukaryote
Lineage: Eukaryota
Description: partial 18S ribosomal RNA
Rfam family: Eukaryotic small subunit ribosomal RNA
Source: RNAcentral